CAAUAGCGUAUAUUAAAGUUGUUGCAGUUAAAAAGCUCGUAGUUGGAUUUCUGGUGGGAGCGAUCGGUCUGGCGCUUAGCGCGAGUACUUGCAUCGUCUCCGGCCAUCCUUGGGGAGAGUCUGUCUGGCAUUAGGUUGUCGGGCAGAGGAUCCUCAUCGUUUACUGUGAAAAAAUUAGAGUGUUCAAAGCAGGCUUAUGCCGUUGAAUAUAUUAGCAUGGAAUAAUAAGAUAGGACUUUGGUACUAUUUUGUUGGUUUGCGCACCAAAGUAAUGAUUAAUAGGGACAGUUGGGGGUAUUCGUAUUCCGUUGUCAGAGGUGAAAUUCUUGGAUUUACGGAAGACGAACUACUGCGAAAGCAUCUACCAAGGAUGUUUUCAUUAA
This 383-nucleotide ribosomal RNA is filed under the name uncultured eukaryote. Its description in RNAcentral is "partial 18S ribosomal RNA". It matches the Rfam family "Eukaryotic small subunit ribosomal RNA", at positions 592 to 976 of the family's 1831-position model. The record is from RNAcentral.